AGCUUGCUCCCUGAAGUCAGCGGCGGACGGGUGAGUAACACGUGGGCAACCUGCCUGUAAGACUGGGAUAACUCCGGGAAACCGGGGCUAAUACCGGAUAAUUCUUUCCCUCACAUGAGGGAAAGCUGAAAGAUGGUUUCGGCUAUCACUUACAGAUGGGCCCGCGGCGCAUUAGCUAGUUGGUGAGGUAACGGCUCACCAAGGCAACGAUGCGUAGCCGACCUGAGAGGGUGAUCGGCCACACUGGGACUGAGACACGGCCCAGACUCCUACGGGAGGCAGCAGUAGGGAAUCUUCCGCAAUGGACGAAAGUCUGACGGAGCAACGCCGCGUGAGUGAUGAAGGUUUUCGGAUCGUAAAACUCUGUUGUUAGGGAAGAACAAGUACCGGAGUAACUGCCGGUACCUUGACGGUACCUAACCAGAAAGCCACGGCUAACUACGUGCCAGCAGCCGCGGUAAUACGUAGGUGGCAAGCGUUGUCCGGAAUUAUUGGGCGUAAAGCGCGCGCAGGCGGUUCCUUAAGUCUGAUGUGAAAGCCCCCGGCUCAACCGGGGAGGGUCAUUGGAAACUGGGGAACUUGAGUGCAGAAGAGAAGAGUGGAAUUCCACGUGUAGCGGUGAAAUGCGUAGAGAUGUGGAGGAACACCAGUGGCGAAGGCGACUCUUUGGUCUGUAACUGACGCUGAGGCGCGAAAGCGUGGGGAGCAAACAGGAUUAGAUACCCUGGUAGUCCACGCCGUAAACGAUGAGUGCUAAGUGUUAGAGGGUUUC
Molecule: ribosomal RNA, 772 nt
Filed under: Bacillus sp. N163
Lineage: Bacteria; Bacillati; Bacillota; Bacilli; Caryophanales; Bacillaceae
Description: bacterial SSU rRNA
Rfam family: Bacterial small subunit ribosomal RNA
Source: RNAcentral